Molecule: ribosomal RNA, 397 nt
Filed under: Hemisus marmoratus (mottled shovel-nosed frog)
Lineage: Eukaryota; Metazoa; Chordata; Amphibia; Anura; Hemisotidae
Description: partial 12S ribosomal RNA
Source: RNAcentral
GUUUAGCCGUAAAUAAACUUACACCCCCAACACGCCAAAGGNUUACAAGUGCAAGCCUAAAACUUAAGGACUUGACGGUGUCUCAUCCUCCUAGAGGAGCCUGUCCUAUAAUCGAUAACCCCCGAUAUACCCGACUGCUUUUUGCCUCUCAGCCUGUAUACCUCCGUCGAAAGCUUACCUUGUGAAAGCCACUUAGUGAGCCAAUAGGCUAUUACGCCAUUAUGUCAGGUCAAGGUGCAGCCAAUAUAGCAGCAGAGAUGGGCUACAGUUUCUAUAAUAGAACAUACAGAUGGAUUUCCAAUGAAACAGACCAGAAGGCGGAUUUAGAANUAAAAAGAAAAUAAANAUUCCUUUUUAAUUAGGUCCGUUUAGCCGUAAAUAAACUUACACCCCCAAC